UACGUAGGUGGCAAGCGUUGUCCGGAUUUACUGGGCGUAAAGAGCGCGCAGGCGGUCGUUCAAGUCGCGUGUGAAAGCCCCCGGCUCAACUGGGGAGGGUCACGCGAUACUGAUCGACUCGAAGGCAGGAGAGGGUAGUGGAAUUCCCGGUGUAGUGGUGAAAUGCGUAGAGAUGUGGAGGAAUACCGAUGGCGAAGGCAGCCCCCUGGGCCAAUACUGACGCUCAUGCACGAAAGCGUGGGGAGCAAACAGG
This 253-nucleotide ribosomal RNA is filed under the name uncultured bacterium. Its description in RNAcentral is "partial 16S ribosomal RNA". It matches the Rfam family "Bacterial small subunit ribosomal RNA", at positions 524 to 776 of the family's 1533-position model. The record is from RNAcentral.